AAGAGUAUUUGGAUGACCGUGCUUCCCCUGAUCUCCCCGUUGAUCUUGCACUGGCCUUUGCCAAAUCCAAGUCUAUCGUCAUACAGCCUAAAGUAACUCCUGCUCUCGCUCCCUCAGUAUUAGGUGAGUACAAAAGGAAGAGAUCCAGAGAAGAAAGCUCGUCCAUAGAUCUCGAGCCUAAAGCCAAGAAGGCUCUCAAACUUGGCAGCAUUGCUCUUCUUCCACCCCCAACUAUUAAUCUGCAAGAAGAACA
This 253-nucleotide long non-coding RNA is filed under the name Salvia miltiorrhiza (redroot sage). Its description in RNAcentral is "long non-coding RNA (SMIL_LNC012430)". Lineage: Eukaryota; Viridiplantae; Streptophyta; Magnoliopsida; Lamiales; Lamiaceae. The record is from RNAcentral.